AGCUAACACUGUUCUUUUAAAUUUUUCUCUAGAGGGUUUUCUGAUUUUGGUCAGAAAACCCAA
Small nuclear RNA from Rattus norvegicus (Norway rat), 63 nucleotides. Ensembl annotates it as U7 small nuclear RNA. NCBI's taxonomy places the organism in Eukaryota, Metazoa, Chordata, Mammalia, Rodentia, Muridae. The record is from Ensembl.